RNAcentral lists this ribosomal RNA (103 nucleotides) under Trivalvaria costata. RNAcentral's name for it is "4.5S ribosomal RNA". The record is from RNAcentral. Lineage: Eukaryota; Viridiplantae; Streptophyta; Magnoliopsida; Magnoliales; Annonaceae.
UAAGGUCACGGCGAGACGAGCCGUUUAUCAUGACGAUAGGUGUCAAGUGGAAGUGCAGUGAUGUAUGCAGCUGAGGCAUCCUAACAGACCGAGAGAUUUGAAC